Molecule: ribosomal RNA, 1837 nt
Filed under: metagenome
Description: bacterial LSU rRNA
Rfam family: Bacterial large subunit ribosomal RNA
Source: RNAcentral
CCUUAGCAGCCAUCAUUUAAAGAAAGCGUAAUAGCUCACUGGUCGAGUCGGCCUGCGCGGAAGAUGUAACGGGGCUAAACCAUGCACCGAAGCUGCGGCAGCGACGCUUAUGCGUUGUUGGGUAGGGGAGCGUUCUGUAAGCCGUCGAAGGUGGACUGUGAGGUCUGCUGGAGGUAUCAGAAGUGCGAAUGCUGACAUAAGUAACGAUAAAGCGGGUGAAAAGCCCGCUCGCCGGAAGACCAAGGGUUCCUGUCCAACGUUAAUCGGGGCAGGGUGAGUCGACCCCUAAGGCGAGGCCGAAAGGCGUAGUCGAUGGGAAACAGGUUAAUAUUCCUGUACUCGGUGUUACUGCGAAGGGGGGACGGAGAAGGCUAUGUUAGCCGGGCGACGGUUGUCCCGGUUUAAGCAUGUAGGCGGAGAGUUUAGGUAAAUCCGGACUCUUUUAACGCUGAGGUGUGAUGACGAGGCACUACGGUGCUGAAGUAACAAAUGCCCUGCUUCCAGGAAAAGCCUCUAAGCAUCAGGUAACACAGAAUCGUACCCCAAACCGACACAGGUGGUCAGGUAGAGAAUACCAAGGCGCUUGAGAGAACUCGGGUGAAGGAACUAGGCAAAAUGGUGCCGUAACUUCGGGAGAAGGCACGCUGGCGCGUAGGUGAAGGGACUUGCUCCCGGAGCUGAAGCCAGUCGAAGAUACCAGCUGGCUGCAACUGUUUAUUAAAAACACAGCACUGUGCAAACACGAAGGUGGACGUAUACGGUGUGACGCCUGCCCGGUGCCGGAAGGUUAAUUGAUGGGGUUAUCCGCAAGGAGAAGCUCUUGAUCGAAGCCCCGGUAAGCGGCGGCCGUAACAAUAACGGUCCUAAGGUAGCGAAAUUCCUUGUCGGGUAAGUUCCGACCUGCACGAAUGGCGUAAUGAUGGCCAGGCUGUCUCCACCCGAGACUCAGUGAAAUUGAACUCGCUGUGAAGAUGCAGUGUACCCGCGGCAAGACGGAAAGACCCCGUGAACCUUUACUAUAGCUUGACACUGAAUAUUGAACCUUGAUGUGUAGGAUAGGUGGGAGGCUUUGAAGCGUGGACGCCAGUCUGCGUGGAGCCAACCUUGAAAUACCACCCUUUAACGUUUGAUGUUCUAACCUGGCGCCGUAAUCCGGCGUGGGGACAGUGUCUGGUGGGUAGUUUGACUGGGGCGGUCUCCUCCUGAAGAGUAACGGAGGAGCACGAUGGUUAGCUAAUCACGGUCGGACAUCGUGAGGUUAGUGCAAUGGCAUAAGCUAGCUUGACUGCGAGAGUGACGGCUCGAGCAGGUGCGAAAGCAGGUCAUAGUGAUCCGGUGGUUCUGAAUGGAAGGGCCAUCGCUCAACGGAUAAAAGGUACUCCGGGGAUAACAGGCUGAUACCGCCCAAGAGUUCAUAUCGACGGCGGUGUUUGGCACCUCGAUGUCGGCUCAUCACAUCCUGGGGCUGAAGUAGGUCCCAAGGGUACGGCUGUUCGCCGUUUAAAGUGGUACGCGAGCUGGGUUUAGAACGUCGUGAGACAGUUCGGUCCCUAUCUGCCGUGGGCGCUGGAAGAUUGAGAGGGGUUGCUCCUAGUACGAGAGGACCGGAGUGAACGCACCACUGGUGUUCGGGUUGUCAUGCCAAUGGCAUUGCCCGGUAGCUAAGUGCGGAAAAGACAAGCGCUGAAAGCAUCUAAGCGCGAAACUUGCCUCGAGAUGAAUCUUCCCUGGGCCUUUAAGGCCCCUGAAGGGACGUUGAAGACUACGACGUUGAUAGGCCGGGUGUGUAAGCGCAGCGAUGCGUUGAGCUAACCGGUACUAAUGACCCGUGAGGCUU